This 414-nucleotide ribosomal RNA is filed under the name uncultured prokaryote. RNAcentral's name for it is "bacterial SSU rRNA". It matches the Rfam family "Bacterial small subunit ribosomal RNA", at positions 505 to 918 of the family's 1533-position model. The record is from RNAcentral.
GUGUCAGCCGCCGCGGUAAUACGUAGGGUGCAGGCGUUAAUCGGAAUUACUGGGCGUAAAGCGUGCGCAGGCGGUUUCUUAAGUCAGAUGUGAAAGCCCCGGGCUUAACCUGGGAACUGCGUUUGAAACUGGGAGACUUGAGUGUGGCAGAGGGGGGUGGAAUUCCACGUGUAGCAGUGAAAUGCGUAGAUAUGUGGAGGAACACCGAUGGCGAAGGCAGCCCCCUGGGCUAACACUGACGCUCAUGCACGAAAGCGUGGGGAGCAAACAGGAUUAGAUACCCUGGUAGUCCACGCCCUAAACUAUGUCAACUGGUUGUCGGGGGAUUAACUCCCUUGGUAACGAAGCUAACGCGUGAAGUUGACCGCCUGGGGAGUACGGCCGCAAGGUUAAAACUCAAAUGAAUUGGCGGGG